UACAGAGGUCCCAAGCGUUGUUCGGAUUCAUUGGGCGUAAAGGGUGCGUAGGUGGCGCUGUAAGUGGGGUGUGAAAUUUCGGAGCUUAACUCCGAAACUGCAUUCCAUACUGCGGUGCUUGAGGACUGGAGAGGAGACUGGAAUUUACGGUGUAGCAGUGAAAUGCGUAGAGAUCGUAAGGAAGACCAGUGGCGAAGGCGGGUCUCUGGACAGUUCCUGACACUGAGGCACGAAGGCCAGGGGAGCAAACGGG
Molecule: ribosomal RNA, 253 nt
Filed under: uncultured bacterium
Lineage: Bacteria
Description: partial 16S ribosomal RNA
Rfam family: Bacterial small subunit ribosomal RNA
Source: RNAcentral